This 489-nucleotide ribosomal RNA is filed under the name uncultured bacterium. Its description in RNAcentral is "partial 16S ribosomal RNA". It matches the Rfam family "Bacterial small subunit ribosomal RNA", at positions 30 to 507 of the family's 1533-position model. The record is from RNAcentral.
UUGAACGCUGGCGGCAGGCCUAACCCAUGCAAGUCGAACGGUAACAGGAAGCAGCUUGCUGCUUCGCUGACGAGUGGCGGACGGGUGAGUAAUGUCUGGGAAGCUGCCUGAUGGAGGGGGAUAACUACUGGAAACGGUAGCUAAUACCGCAUAAUGUCGCAAGACCAAAGAGGGGGACCUUCGGGCCUCUUGCCAUCGGAUGUGCCCAGAUGGGAUUAGCUUGUUGGUGGGGUAACGGCUCACCAAGGCGACGAUCCCUAGCUGGUCUGAGAGGAUGACCAGCCACACUGGAACUGAGACACGGUCCAGACUCCUACGGGAGGCAGCAGUGGGGAAUAUUGCACAAUGGGCGCAAGCCUGAUGCAGCCAUGCCGCGUGUAUGAAGAAGGCCUUCGGGUUGUAAAGUACUUUCAGCGGGGAGGAAGGGAGUAAAGUUAAUACCUUUGCUCAUUGACGUUACCCGCAGAAGAAGCACCGGCUAACUCCGUG